UUUAAGUUUUUGUCCUGCCUGUUAUUUGAGCUUUUAUGUAGCAUCUGCAAUGCUACGUUUCAAGCUUCUUUUCAGUUCGUUCAAUUAGUUGAGCUUUCUGUCAAGUUAUAUUUCUUACUACUUUGGUUACCUAAAGAUUUAUCAGCUCAGUAUCGUGUCAUUUUACCAUCAGAUAGGGAGGGUCUAGUGUUCUUCAUUUUUUUGGUCAUUAGGGAAAAAAAUGCUUGUUUCCUAGUUAAUUAUACAUUCAUUAGAUAUUCCUUCAUUGUUCCUUAAUGAAUUACUCUAAUUAAUAUUUCUAAAUUUCUUUGCAUUUUUUGUGAGUUGAGAUUUCCCAGCCACUACCAGUUUAAUUUGUGUAGCCUGUGGUGACUCUAUUGCUUGAAAGUAGUGGUGCCACGUACUCCACCAUCAUUUUGUGUCUAGGUUUUAUGGGGACUGCUGUCUCUUCUUGUCCUUACUUAAUACAUAAGCUUGAUUUUGUUAAUCUUUGCUCCUUCAGGAUUUUUUUGUGCCAUUAGUUGCUCUGGGUGCUAAUUUGCCUGUUUCUCCAUAGGAGUGGAUGAUGAGUUUUGUUUGACAUUUAAAGAUCUUUCUUUUAAAGAACAUUGAUAUGACAUAUAGUUCCUAAUAAAACCACCAACACUGACAAUAUGUUCUUUGACAAAACCAAAGUCUUCACACUUUUUGCCAUAAAUUCUGGGGAGUUUAUUUUUGUCCUACCAUUAUCAUUCUUAAAGUAUUAAAUGAUCACUAGUUCCAGAAGCCAGAUAAAUCAGGUGAACAGUUUGUUCGAAUUCGUGUAGUUUGUUAGUUUCACUGGAGCAGAUGCUGAAUUGCUUAUUGUCUUGCACUUGUGCGGUUUUGUUGCUUUCUGGUUUGACUGUUUGUCAGAUUGGCAUGCCAUGCUCCUUCAUAUUGCAUUAUUUCAAAUUGAUGAUUUACUUGGGCUUGACUUUCAAAUUAACAUUUUGGUGUAACUUCCAAUGUGAAUAAGUUGGUAGCCUGAAUUUUGCCAUGUUUUUUUCCCUUUUUUUGUGAAAAGGUUAUAACGUUCUUGAUGUAAACCUUUUUCUUAAGAGAAUAAUGCUAUGCUGCUUCAUGAUA
This is a long non-coding RNA of Populus euphratica (Euphrates poplar), 1107 nucleotides long. RefSeq lists it as uncharacterized. The transcript has 2 exons. Lineage: Eukaryota; Viridiplantae; Streptophyta; Magnoliopsida; Malpighiales; Salicaceae. The record is from RefSeq and is a predicted model, not a curated record.